UGGGGAAUUUUGGACAAUGGGCGAAAGCCUGAUCCAGCAAUGCCGCGUGUGUGAAGAAGGCCUUCGGGUUGUAAAGCACUUUUGUCCGGAAAGAAAUCCUUGGCUCUAAUACAGUCGGGGGAUGACGGUACCGGAAGAAUAAGCACCGGCUAACUACGUGCCAGCAGCCGCGGUAAUACGUAGGGUGCAAGCGUUAAUCGGAAUUACUGGGCGUAAAGCGUGCGCAGGCGGUUUGCUAAGACCGAUGUGAAAUCCCCGGGCUCAACCUGGGAACUGCAUUGGUGACUGGCAGGCUAGAGUAUGGCAGAGGGGGGUAGAAUUCCACGUGUAGCAGUGAAAUGCGUAGAGAUGUGGAGGAAUACCGAUGGCGAAGGCAGCCCCCUGGGCCAAUACUGACGCUCAUGCACGAAAGCGUGGGGAGCAAACAGGAUUCAGAUACCCUGGUAGUCCACGCCCUAAACGAUGUCAACUAGUUGUUGGGGAUUCAUUUCCUUAGUAACGUAGCUAACGCGUGAAGUUGACCGCCUGGGGAGUACGGUCGCAAGAUUAAAA
This 552-nucleotide ribosomal RNA is filed under the name uncultured bacterium. Its description in RNAcentral is "partial 16S ribosomal RNA". It matches the Rfam family "Bacterial small subunit ribosomal RNA", at positions 355 to 899 of the family's 1533-position model. The record is from RNAcentral.